AGCUCAGAGACCCAACCCAAUAACACCGUAAAGUUGCAGACUAUCUCUAUAGAGAACUUCCGGAUCCAUAACGGCAAUGCAUUAUGAAUUGUAAAUUGCAUUUUGUUUAGCUGUUUAAGCUUGGAAGCAAAGCCAUAUUUUCUGAUCCCAAAAUCUCAAUGCCAAUUGAAAAUGGGUGAGAGAUCUGAUGUGAAAUGUUGAUGGCGAGUCGUCGUGGGGCCGAAUCAAAGGGAAGAGACGUGAGCAGUGAGAGCAGCAUUACAUUACAGAGAAUGAGAGAAACAGAGAAAGCAGAACCCACUACUUCACAAAACCAGAAACCAAAGAAAAACCCUCAGUUGCAGCGGUCUGGGAAGAAACCCAAUUCCAAAAUUGCCCUAAAACCAAAACCCUCUACUGGUUGGGGCUUGACCUCUGGUUGUUGUCGCUCAGUUGAUUCGACAUCUGCUGUGUCUGUUAACGAUUUCAAGCACAAGAAGAAGAUGAUGGUUGAUGAUGUUGAUGAAUCAGGUGAGACCUCCAAUCCCCUAACUUUAUCUGAUUUCACCACUGGUUUUGUUGAAAAUACUUCUACAACUACUCCUGUUUGUAAAUUAGCAGCAUGUGUUCCUGUUUUGGGAUGUGAAUUUGAGUUUGAAUUUGAAUUUGAUGAUAAGCUUAUGAAAGAUGAUUCCACUGCAAUAGCAAUAGCAGCUACUACUACUACUACUACAACUCCUCCUGUUGAGGCCUCAGUCUCCCCAGAGAUUCAAUGUGGGUCAUCUUUGCUGGUGUCUUCAGCAACGCCUGCUUGUUACGGCGCUGGACAUAUUAUUUCUGGGGUGACUGAUAGGAGAAAAUGCAGAGCUAGAGGUUUACUUACUGUAGGAAAAAAUGAUUCUAAUUUUGGUAAAUCAAACAUUUCCAACAAUGCUGAUGAUGACAUUGAAAUUCCUAGUAAAUCGGGGAUGUCUUUGGCCCCUCUGCCCGUUGAAGCUUCAGUUCAUUGGCUCUUAUCUCCCUGUCACGACGAGGAUGGGGAUCACGAGACUGAUACUGAAAAUGGGUUGCAACCUCUUCGAAAAUCACUAGGCUUUGCCUGCGCCUCUUCACCUUUGUCGUCGGGUCACAGAAUUUCUUCUGACUUAUGCAACAUUUUUUAUAGUAGUAGCACUACUAGUGGAAGUUGUAGUAAGAGAAAAACUAGGGUUACUUUGCUUUCUCCCAGUGGAAAUCCUGCAUUGUCAGUUUCUCCUCAUGCUACACCUACUUCUGAGGCGAUUAUCUCACAAGAGCAGAGGAGACCUAGAUAUGAUCUCUCUGGGGAAAAUUCACCAUUCUCCAUUGAAUCUUUGGGCAGUGGGAAUGUUAUUCAAACCCCACAAUCCGAUUUGAGCUCAGAUAGGCGUGUUGGACUGUUUUGGUUCAAUGAACAUGAUCAUCAAAUAAAUGAUUUUGGAUCUGAAAUGGAUUCGGUGGCUCGGAUUGCAAGUUUAUCUCCUAAGAACCAGACAUCAAUCUGGGAUCCACUAGGAUUAAGUUUUCAGUUCUCUGACUUGAUUUCACCUUCCAAUUCCAUUGACUUUCCCCAACUCCCAAACACUAGGGAUAAUCAAGCUUCUUGCAUUUCUAUUUCUACUUUAGAGGAUAUAUCAUGCUCACAGAUGAGGAUAUCAUGGAGGGACGGAUUGGCGAGUCGGAUUUUUGAGAUGGAUGAGUUUAAUUGCUGCAGAUGCUUGUCAGAUGAUGAGAAUGAUGUCAGGGAAUGCAGUAAUGGCAAGUCCAAAUCCAGUCCAAGUCAUGACUCGAAUAUUGAUGUAGGGAAUGCUGCAAUUCUUAGCAAUGGUUUUGGAUUUCCUGAAGUUGUUGGCCAUGAAUCAAAGUCUGAUGAAGAAGGAAAACAAAAAUUUCAUAUGCAAAGAUCCAACUCUUGUGCAGAGUCCAUAUCCAUUGAAGGUGGCGGCUUGGUUGCUUCGGGGGAUUCGGAUUGGACCAUGUGCUACAAAAACCAAUUGUUUCAAUUGUAACUGUUCUGUUCCCAUGUCAUUUUUUCUAUUAUUGUUUCUGGAUUCUUGCUCUAAAGUCAUAGCAACAAAACAAUGUUUUGAAGGAUUUGCCAGGCACAGAGAUAGUUGAUUUUGCAAGAUUUUCAAAGAAAAGGAAUCAGGGUUAGCAUAUUUAUAAUUUGAUGCAUGGAGUGGAAAUCAUUUUGAUAUCAAGCUAAGCAAUGGGUGUGUGGAAGUUGUUAAAUUGAGAUUCAAAUACUGAAUCAUAAAAUUUUGGAGACAAUUUUAAAAAGAGAGUGAAAAAAAUGAAAAAGAAAAACACAAGUAGACAUGUGCAGAUUGAGAAUAAAAGUAAAAUGAAGAAUUAGACAUUUAGGCACAAAAAGCUUGUUUGUGGGGGUUGUUGGGUUUGGGCUUGAACAAUGGGCUUUUACCACUGUUUCCUCUUUCAUUCUUGUGGAUCUAGGCGCGAUGUAGAUGUGGACUCAAGGACACUUCUGCUGUAUUUUUGGGCUUUGCUAAGUGAAUUGAGAUCUUCAUUCUGAGUUGGAACACACUGUUAAUGGGUUGGUAAGAUCCAUUUUGCUGCACAAAAGUGAAAGUGGAUCACUUGACAGAGAGAGCAUGUAAAGGUGGUCUUACACAAACAGAGAACUGGGGCUAAGGCUGAUCUGGACAAAAGGAUUGGAAGACGAAGAAGCAAUUUUGCGGUUGCAAAAAGAUAGGGCAGUUGCAAAAAGAUAGGUUGCCAGUCACACAUUAGCGAUGGGUGAAGUUUAUUUAUUAUGAUUUGGUUUCACGCUAGUCCUUAUUUCUUCCAACCAUUUCAACCCUAGCCACCAUUUCAACCCUAGCCACCUCCUCAAUUCUGCUCUCUCUCCCUCAUCUCUCUCUGCCUCCAAUUGCGUCACCACCGUCUCCACCUUCGAUCGCCACCAAAGCUCUCUCUAAGAUUGAGAUGGUGAAGAAGUGAGUCCCUGAAUGUCUCAGCAGCUCUCUUUGGUCCAGCGCUCGUCCUCCUCCUCCUCCUCCACCGCCUCAUGAGUCUCGCCUCGACAAUGAUGACACCAAAUCUACCUCCACCGCCACUGCCACUGCCACCGCCGAUUCUUCUUCUUUGUCCAAAUCUGCUGCCUCUUCUGCUGCCGUGGAGUCUCUGGUUCAGACCCUUCGUCUGAUGUGAGACCGGAGCCUCCCGAAGUGGAAAUCAGAGAUCCAUUGAGCAAUCAUAGUGAUAGUGGCAGCUCUGGGUGUACUUCGGUUGAAGACAUUUAUCGCCAAGCUCAGCUUUUACAAGAGGUUAGCAUAGAUCUCUC
Camellia sinensis is the source of this 3301-nucleotide non-coding RNA. Lineage: Eukaryota; Viridiplantae; Streptophyta; Magnoliopsida; Ericales; Theaceae. The record is from RefSeq and is a predicted model, not a curated record.